UGGCGGCAUGCCUUACACAUGCAAGUCGAACGGCAGCACGGGAGCAAUCCUGGUGGCGAGUGGCGAACGGGUGAGUAAUAUAUCGGAACGUGCCCAGUCGUGGGGGAUAACGUAGCGAAAGCUACGCUAAUACCGCAUACGAUCUAUGGAUGAAAGCGGGGGAUCGCAAGACCUCGCGCGAUUGGAGCGGCCGAUAUCAGAUUAGGUAGUUGGUGAGGUAAAGGCUCACCAAGCCAACGAUCUGUAGCUGGUCUGAGAGGACGACCAGCCACACUGGAACUGAGACACGGUCCAGACUCCUACGGGAGGCAGCAGUGGGGAAUUUUGGACAAUGGACGCAAGUCUGAUCCAGCCAUUCCGCGUGCAGGAUGAAGGCCCUCGGGUUGUAAACUGCUUUUGUACGGAACGAAAAGGUUUCUAUUAAUACUAGGAGCUCAUGACGGUACCGUAAGAAUAAGCACCGGCUAACUACGUG
This 475-nucleotide ribosomal RNA is filed under the name uncultured bacterium. RNAcentral's name for it is "bacterial SSU rRNA". It matches the Rfam family "Bacterial small subunit ribosomal RNA", at positions 37 to 507 of the family's 1533-position model. The record is from RNAcentral.